This 253-nucleotide ribosomal RNA is filed under the name uncultured bacterium. RNAcentral describes it as "partial 16S ribosomal RNA". It matches the Rfam family "Bacterial small subunit ribosomal RNA", at positions 524 to 776 of the family's 1533-position model. The record is from RNAcentral.
UACGUAGGGUGCAAGCGUUGUCCGGAAUUAUUGGGCGUAAAGAGCUCGUAGGCGGUCUGUCGCGUCGGAUGUGAAAACCCAGGGCUCAACCCUGGGCCUGCAUUCGAUACGGGCAGACUAGAGUUCGGUAGGGGAGACUGGAAUUCCUGGUGUAGCGGUGAAAUGCGCAGAUAUCAGGAGGAACACCGAUGGCGAAGGCAGGUCUCUGGGCCACUACUGACGCUGAGAAGCGAAAGCAUGGGGAGCGAACAGG